AGGCCCCAGGUGUCUCAGCAGAAAAGGUUUGCGAGUUCCUGCUGUGAAUACCAGGCUGCUAUUUUAGGAACCCCUGUGGUGGUAGCUGCCACUUCUGUUUCUUCCUUUCCCAUCGGGCUCCUCGCCUUCUUUUCCCUUUUCCCUGUCCUUUUUCUCUUUAUAAAGCCUUGACCCCAACAGCACUCCCAGACAGGACAGGUUAAUGGCCUCUGGUUUAGAUACGGUCCCAUGGGGUAGGGGUGUGCGUGGGUCAGAUGCGUCAUCUUCCUGGUCUGGGGACUCCGUGAUCCCAGGUCUUUAAUGAGGAAAGCACUAGAUGGGUCUCUCAUGCCCCGUUGUUUGUAGGAGAGCAGUUCUGGACUGUCAUUCCCACCUGGGCUGUGCCGGUCUCUCUCCCGGGCUUGCCACCGUCCUGAGGCCACUUGUCCCAGAACAUUAAUAAGAAUCAGCUUCCAGGGGUCCCAGAAACUCCAGCCUCAGCUUACAAGUGGAGGGCAUGUGAGAGAAUCCCAGGUGAAUGACAGACCGACUCUGUCUGGUGUUCCUGAUGAAGACCAGACUGUGCUUUCCCGUUUCUGCCGCCAGUUUUGUAUCGAGCUUUGACUGUUUGCUGGGGGAGGAGCUGUCUGGGGCGCUGGAAGCAGAUGAGCUGGAACCUUGUCCCAACCACUUGCAGAGGCUGAAUAAGUCUCAGCAAGACCUGUAAACCCUCAGAGCCUCCCUCUUCAUCUGGAAGAUGGGGAUUAUAAUACCUUCUCCUGGGGAUGUGAUGAGGAUCAAAUAGGUUCUGUGAUGAAAGUUGAGAUGGCAGAUCCAGUUGUCAAGCUGCUUGGAUGGUGCUGCACUCAGGAAGGAGGAGGGAAUGAGUCCUCUUGAAAAUUCUUUGCCAGCUGUGAAUGUGAUGUGUCUGUGAAAGAGAACUUAAUCAAUAUUCAAGAACAACAGGAGGCAAGGUUGUGUUUCAUUAAAUGACUGACCAUGGAAAACAGUGGAGGGAUGAAGCAGCAAUCUACAAAUAGGGAGUCCAGGAAUGAUCCUGAUGAGCAAGACCUGCGUCUUCAAAGAGGCACCCAGGUGACUUAGAAAUUAAACGUGGUGUAGUUUGGGGUACAUUUCUUCCUUCCUGAGGCAACCCAGGAACCUGGCGGCUGCAAGCCAUUGCAGGCUGGCAGAGGUCUGAACUCCUGUGAAAAUCUGAUCGUGUCUGGGUGAGGAGCCCUUCUGCCAAGCUCCUGUAGCAGCUUAUGUGUUUCCCGUGAACCCACCAUACCUCUUUCCUACCACACCAUGAUCGCCCAUUUACUCAUUUCUAGAAUCUUCCUGAUUACAAAGGAGGCUCUCGGAGGUCAGGGACUGUAUCUGCCCAGAUCACCAUUUUAUUUCCCUUGCUUAGCUCAUUGCCUGGAAGAUAAUAGGUGUUCAAUAUUUACUGAAUAAAUAAAUGAAAAUCAUAAAGCUUUCCCCUGGCCCCUUAAAUAUUUCACCUAUAUUGCAGCUUUUGCAACUCAUUUAAGGGUCUAUCUGGGGACUCCAGCAUAAGAACUUCUAUUUUAGAUGGUCAUUACAAACAAAGAAGGGGAAUUUGCAGGCUAAAUAAAGAAGCAGCCAUUCUUCAUUACAGGCCAGAAGGAAUUUGCACAUCAAGUGUCUGUCUCCAGAGGGGAAGGGCAAAGUUGGUGUUGACACGGUGUUACAGAUGAAGGGAAGCUGUGUCCAAGUCCCUCAUGUACCUUAGAUGACAAGGAGAGCCAGGCCUUGCCCAAGGUCACAUGGCUAGUGCCAGAGAUAACUGGAGCCUUCCAGCUUCCAGAACAGCACUCACCAAACCCUCCCCUCCCCACUUCUAUGCUGCCUACCAGAAGCACAGUCAUUGCAAGAAUUCAGUGAAGGCUUCCUUCAGAGCAUGGCCAGAGAAUAAUUUAAGGAAAUGCAGAAUUUACACGACCUUGGUGAGAUUAGGGGACAGGUCUUUCCAAGAAAGAUUUGAUUCAAGUUGAUAAAACCUUUGGAGGGAAGUUAUUGCCUUGCUGCCUCAUUUGAAAGAGGAAAAGUUUCUAUUUCUUUGUCCUUAAUGGGGGCAUAACUUCAGAGAGAAAAAGACCUGGUGCUUGAGAGCAAGCCCAAUGAAGGCAGCAAUCCUGUUUUCUUCCUCAUUCAGGUUCAGCAGUGCCCUCAGCCCUGGCCUGGCCCACACGAAUCCUCAAGAACAAGGCAGAUACAGGCCACAGCACUUACCAACUGCAUUUCACAUUAACAUGAACCCUGGGUGAGCAUGGGACACAAUUCUGGAAUCUAUUAAUCUCACUGCCACAUAUGCAGGAUGUUUCAGAUGAGCUCAUCCAGAGAUCUGCAGUAUUGGUGUUGUUUUUAAAUCAGGAAAAAAGAAACUCACACUCUCCGUCAUGCCAGAUGCUCUAUCAGAUAAAUAUCACACACAGUUUUUUAGAGAAAUAUUAUGUGAUUUGAGAACAUCUGCAAUUCUCUAGAACAUACUGUUAUCAGAAGCUGACUUAUACUAAAUAUCACACAUCAGACUUUCCUUCAAAGGUCUUGCACUAAAUUUGUCCACUGCAGCACAACUGUCUCCUUCUGAAACAGUAUCAGACAGAGUUAAAAUGUGUCAGCUCAUUAGCAUUACCACAAGUUGAUUUCAGAUGCACUCAUGUUAUCAAUAACCGAGUUUUUUCCUGUUUCAGAAAUGAUGAGUACAGAAGAGAUCUCCCCAAUUGCUACUUUGGUUUGCAAUGGGUGUUACAAAUUCAAGACAUCAUUUGUUCUUAGAUUAGCAUGAGCGCCACCCCCCCCCCCCACUAUUUACAGGGUGCAGAGGAAAAUACCAGGUGCUGUGUUAAGAACUUUGCAAACUAUCAUGUCCUCAAGAGUCCUCUGAGACAACUACUAUUAACUUGCAUGUCAGGGCACCAAGGCCUAGUGCCCACAUUACACGGUUUGUGGGGCACAUUUAUUGUGCGCUAGGCACCCUCCUAUGUGUUUAAUUAUAUCUCAUUUCAUUCCACCAAACACUUUGAAGUCAGUGCUGUCAUAACCCCUGGAUUACAGUUGAAGAAACUGUCACAGGUCUCCAACUCAGUCCUAGUUUACUCCCAAACUCAUGCACACUCUUUCAUUUGACAAUAUAUGUGAGGGUCCUUUUUUGGUGAAGUUAAAUCUCCUGGACUCUAUCUUCCCUCUCUGGAUGAUCUUGGGUAAGCUCUAGUUAAUCUUACUGUGGCUAAGUUUCCGCCUUUGUAAAACAGCAUAAUAAUAGUAAACUACUCAGAAGGUUGAGAGAAUGCAGUAAAAGCACUUAGCACAGUGUCUGGCAUAUAGACAUUACUCAGCAGACUGCAGGUAUUGUUAAUGAUAAUGAUAACAGCUCUUAUUAUUUUUAUGAAAAUAAUGCUACCUCAGAAAGUAUAUAGCGAUUAAAACAAACCAAAACAGCACGAUGAGGGCGAAUUUAAUAGUGUGUUAAGGACUAUGUUCAAAGAGAUGUCCCCACCAAGAAGAAGAGAGCUACAUUCAAUCAGAAGUGGUGGCCGUAGACCCUUAUCUUUCUCAGCGUUGCCCGCGGGGGUGAUACCCCUCUCCUACACUGCAUCACUGCCGUUCUCAGACCUCUGAUAAAGCCCAAGAUCAUUCAAAAGAGGAUCAAGAAGUUCAUCUGGCACCAGUCAAAAUGAUAUGUCAAAAUCGAGCACAACCGGCGGAAACCCAGAGGCAGUAACAGCAGGGUAUGAGGAAGAUUCAAGGGCCAGAACUUGAGGUUUAUGCUCACAAUGUCUCUUCCAAGAACAAAGCCAUUGUGGAAACAAACCCAGCUGGACAUCAGGGUCACCAAUCCAAUGCCAGGCUAUGCGGUGAAAAAAAUAAAUAGACAGCUUAUGUGCACAUCUCAUUUGUGUUAAUAAAACCAUAAAACUGCCAUCUGGCAAAAAGAA
Long non-coding RNA from Acinonyx jubatus (cheetah), 3941 nucleotides. RefSeq lists it as uncharacterized. The record is from RefSeq and is a predicted model, not a curated record. The transcript has 5 exons. Lineage: Eukaryota; Metazoa; Chordata; Mammalia; Carnivora; Felidae.